UACGUAGGGGGCUAGCGUUGUCCGGAAUCAUUGGGCGUAAAGCGCGUGUAGGCGGUCCGGUAAGUCCGCUGUGAAAGUCGGGGGCUCAACCCUCGGAUGCCGGUGGAUACUGUCGGGCUUGAGUACGGAAGAGGCGAGUGGAAUUCCUGGUGUAGCGGUGAAAUGCGCAGAUAUCUGGAGGAACACCGGUGGCGAAGGCGGCAUCCUGGACCGGCAUUGACGCUGAGGAGCGAAAGCCAGGGGAGCAAACGGG
Molecule: ribosomal RNA, 253 nt
Filed under: uncultured bacterium
Lineage: Bacteria
Description: partial 16S ribosomal RNA
Rfam family: Bacterial small subunit ribosomal RNA
Source: RNAcentral